Molecule: ribosomal RNA, 425 nt
Filed under: uncultured bacterium
Lineage: Bacteria
Description: partial 16S ribosomal RNA
Rfam family: Bacterial small subunit ribosomal RNA
Source: RNAcentral
GUAGGGAAUAUUGCACAAUGGAGGAAACUCUGAUGCAGCGACGCCGCGUGAGUGAUGAAGGCCUUCGGGUCGUAAAACUCUGUGAUAAGGGAAGAUGAUGACGGUACCUUAUCAGAAAAGACCGGCUAACUUCGUGCCAGCAGCCGCGGUAAUACGAGGGGUCUAAGCGUUGUUCGGAAUCACUGGGCGUAAAGCGGGUGUAGGUGGCUAUGCAAGUUGGAUGUGAAAGCACCGGGCUCAACCCGGGAAGUGCAUCCAAAACUACGUAGCUUGAGUGCGGGAGAGAAAGGCAGAAUUCCUGGUGUAGUGGUGAAAUACGUAGAUAUCAGGAGGAACUCCGGUGGCGAAGGCGGCCUUUUGGCCCAGCACUGACACUCAGACCCGAAAGCGUGGGUAGCAAACAGGAUUAGAUACCCUAGUAGUCC